Molecule: ribosomal RNA, 126 nt
Filed under: Pogona vitticeps (central bearded dragon)
Lineage: Eukaryota; Metazoa; Chordata; Lepidosauria; Squamata; Agamidae
Source: RNAcentral
UUUGGCAACCCCCACCGUCCCCUCCCAAAUGCCCUGGCCUCUUCCUGACCACAGAAGCUGAGCAGGGUCAGGCCUGAUUUGUACCUGGAUGGAAGGCCAUGCAGGGACACCAGAGAGCUGCCAGGA